Molecule: transfer RNA, 76 nt
Filed under: Vanmanenia hainanensis
Lineage: Eukaryota; Metazoa; Chordata; Actinopteri; Cypriniformes; Gastromyzontidae
Description: tRNA-Lys
Rfam family: tRNA
About the family: Transfer RNA (tRNA) molecules are approximately 80 nucleotides in length. Their secondary structure includes four short double-helical elements and three loops (D, anti-codon, and T loops).
Source: RNAcentral
CACUAGGAAGCUAAAAUAGGGUAACAGCAUUGGCCUUUUAAGCCAAAGAUUGGUGCCUCCCAACCACCUCUAGUGA